AUCUUGGAAGUUGCUCCUGAAACUUUCUGCCAGUUAAUAACAAUGGUUUUAAAUAAUUCACAAUGGUUCUAACCAUGAAGUUACUUCAAUCAGACUCCUUCACAGUUGAGAAAUGCUUUGAUAUGAGCAAGGUGUCUUAAAUGUUAGCUGUGCAAUCAGAGCUCUCAAAAACAAAGCAGGGCUCACAUGAUGUUUUUAUAUAUUUGUCAUACACGUUUAGAUUUAAGAACCACAUUUAAUAUGAUAAAAUGUUUUUUGAGUUUGUUUUCCCCUUUCAUUAGCUAUGCAAAACCGCCUAAUCAAUGGAAGUCAAGACAGACUUCAAGGGAAUCCGCAUACAGUGAUUUAUUUCUACUUUUGAUGCUGGAGACGUCGAUAAUGAACUGGCGCAAAUCGAAUAUGUCGAAGACAUCUACAAACUCUACAAACUUGUAGAGGUAAAACUUAAAAGAUUGUUUAUAUAGUUUUCUUGAGUUUCUUAACGUGGAUUGUCAAAAAAGUCACAAAACUGGGUUAAAAUUGCACUUUUCUUGAAUUUCUUGAUGUGGGUAGUAAAUAAUAUGGGUUGAUUUACCUUUUUAUUGAAUUUGUGUUAAAUUUACUAUUUUAUUAAGUUUCUUGAAGUGGGUUGUCAAAAAAAAAUCACAAAAUUGGGUUAAAUUUACAGUUUUCUUUAAUUGAUGUGGGUUGUUAAAAAAGUCAUAAAAUUUGGGUUAAUUUACAGUUUUCUUGAAUUUCUUGAUGUUGUAUUAAGUAUCUUGAUGUGGGUUGUUAAAAAAGUCACAAACUUGGAUUAAUAUAUUGUUUUCUUGAUGUGGGUUGUCGACGAGAAAGAGAGGCCCGAAUCAUCGCGAUCGCGGAACAAGAAGCCUCAGUCUUCACUUACUUCUACACUCACUGCCAGGAGCAAAGCUGCCUGUGGACUGAACUAUAAACCGAAAAACAUUGUCGAUAUUAAUGCUGGAGAUGUCGAUAAUGAACUGGCGCAAGGCGAAUAUGUCGAAGUCAUCUACAAAUUCUACAAACUUGUAGAGCCUCAAUUGGCAGCAUCAGCUUUGCAAGAAUCCACGUCCCAAUCCUGAUAUUAAAACUCUGUUUAUCGAUCAUACUUGUAUUCUAACAAUGGGGGUUGGGGUCCUCCCCCUACCAACAGUUCCCUUGCUGGACCUAUUCGGCUAUUCCUAAAGCUGGUGUAUUUCGUCCUAUUAGAGCAUAUGGUGUAAGUGUAGUUAAAUGUUCCAAUCU
Helianthus annuus (common sunflower) is the source of this 1245-nucleotide long non-coding RNA. RefSeq lists it as uncharacterized. The record is from RefSeq and is a predicted model, not a curated record. Lineage: Eukaryota; Viridiplantae; Streptophyta; Magnoliopsida; Asterales; Asteraceae. The transcript is spliced from 3 exons.